Molecule: ribosomal RNA, 492 nt
Filed under: uncultured bacterium
Lineage: Bacteria
Description: partial 16S ribosomal RNA
Rfam family: Bacterial small subunit ribosomal RNA
Source: RNAcentral
AGUGAACGCUGGCGGUAGGCCUAACACAUGCAAGUCGAACGGCAGCACAGUAAGAGCUUGCUCUUACGGGUGGCGAGUGGCGGACGGGUGAGGAAUACAUCGGAAUCUACUUUUUCGUGGGGGAUAACGUAGGGAAACUUACGCUAAUACCGCAUACGACCUACGGGUGAAAGCAGGGGAUCUUCGGACCUUGCGCGAUUGAAUGAGCCGAUGUCGGAUUAGCUAGUUGGCGGGGUAAAGGCCCACCAAGGCGACGAUCCGUAGCUGGUCUGAGAGGAUGAUCAGCCACACUGGAACUGAGACACGGUCCAGACUCCUACGGGAGGCAGCAGUGGGGAAUAUUGGACAAUGGGCGCAAGCCUUAUCCAGCCAUACCGCGUGGGUGAAGAAGGCCUUCGGGUUGUAAAGCCCUUUUGUUGGGAAAGAAAAGCAGCAGGUUAAUACCCCGCUGUUCUGACGGUACCCAAAGAAUAAGCAUCGGCUAACUUCGUG